GAUGAACGCUAGCUACAGGCUUAACACAUGCAAGUCGAGGGGAAACGACAUCGAAAGCUUGCUUUUGAUGGGCGUCGACCGGCGCACGGGUGAGUAACGCGUAUCCAACCUGCCCACCACUUGGGGAUAACCUUGCGAAAGUAAGACUAAUACCCAAUGAUAUCUCUAGAAGACAUCUGAAAGAGAUUAAAGAUUUAUCGGUGAUGGAUGGGGAUGCGUCUGAUUAGCUUGUUGGCGGGGUAACGGCCCACCAAGGCAACGAUCAGUAGGGGUUCUGAGAGGAAGGUCCCCCACAUUGGAACUGAGACACGGUCCAAACUCCUACGGGAGGAAGCAGUGAGGAAUAUUGGUCAAUGGACGAGAGUCUGAACCAGCCAAGUAGCGUGCAGGAAGACGGCCCUAUGGGUUGUAAACUGCUUUUAUAAGGGAAUAAAGUGAGUCUCGUGAGACUUUUUGCAUGUACCUGAUGAAUAAGGACCGGCUAAUUCCGUG
Molecule: ribosomal RNA, 492 nt
Filed under: uncultured bacterium
Lineage: Bacteria
Description: partial 16S ribosomal RNA
Rfam family: Bacterial small subunit ribosomal RNA
Source: RNAcentral